AUUGAACGCUGGCGGCAGGCCUAACACAUGCAAGUCGAGCGAGCGGCGGACGGGUGAGUAAUGUAUGGGGACUGCCCGAUAGAGGGGGAUCACUACUGGAAACGGUAGCUAAUACCGCAUACUAUCGGAUUACCCAUAUGGAAUUAGCUAGUAGGUGAGGUAAUGGCUCACCUAGGCGACGAUCCCUAGCUGGUCUGAGAGGAUGAUCAGCCACACUGGGACUGAGACACGGCCCAGACUCCUACGGAGGCAGCAGUGGGGAAUAUUGCACAAUGGGGGCAAGCCUGAGACAGCCAUGCCGCGUGUGUGAAGAAGGCCCUAGGGUUGUAAAGUACUUUCAGUCGGGAGGCGUUACCGACAGAAGAAGCACCGGCUAACUCCGUGCCAGCAGCCGCGGUAAUUC
This 403-nucleotide ribosomal RNA is filed under the name uncultured bacterium. Its description in RNAcentral is "partial 16S ribosomal RNA". It matches the Rfam family "Bacterial small subunit ribosomal RNA", at positions 30 to 526 of the family's 1533-position model. The record is from RNAcentral.